RNAcentral lists this ribosomal RNA (253 nucleotides) under uncultured bacterium. RNAcentral's name for it is "partial 16S ribosomal RNA". It matches the Rfam family "Bacterial small subunit ribosomal RNA", at positions 524 to 776 of the family's 1533-position model. The record is from RNAcentral.
UACGUAGGGGGCAAGCGUUUGUCCGGAAUCAUUGGGCGUAAAGAGCGUGUAGGCGGCUCGAUAAGUCUGCUGUGAAAGUCCAGGGCUCAACCCUGGAAGGCCGGUGGAAACUGUCGGGCUAGAGUCCGGAAGAGGCGAGUGGAAUCCCGGUGUAGCGGUGAAAUGCGCAGAUAUCGGGAGGAACACCAAUGGCGAAGGCAGCUCGCUGGGACGGUACUGACGCUGAGACGCGAAAGCGUGGGGAGCAAACAGG